This 241-nucleotide long non-coding RNA is filed under the name Hordeum vulgare. RNAcentral's name for it is "long non-coding RNA (HVUL_LNC012679)". The record is from RNAcentral. Lineage: Eukaryota; Viridiplantae; Streptophyta; Magnoliopsida; Poales; Poaceae.
UAUGUUUUUAUUUGUGUCUAGAGUUCUGUUGUGAUAUCUUCUCGUGAGUUUUUGAGCUUGGUCAUACACAUUUGCGUGUAUGAUUAGUGUACGAUCAAAUUGAGGGCGUCACAUCUUGCUACUUCUUGAGAUUGCGUUGGUUUUUCCUCGAAGAGGAAAGGGUGAUGCAACAAAGUAUAUAACUAUUUCCCUCGGUUUGUUGAGAACCUAUGUAUCAAUCCAGUAGGAGGAACAAGCAAGG